RNAcentral lists this long non-coding RNA (266 nucleotides) under Copidosoma floridanum. RNAcentral's name for it is "uncharacterized LOC111643766, transcript variant X1". Lineage: Eukaryota; Metazoa; Arthropoda; Insecta; Hymenoptera; Encyrtidae. The record is from RNAcentral.
AGCUGUCAAGCAUCAGGCCACAUCGGAUCCCGUUCGCUUUUUGUCCAGCUCUCUUCGUCAGAGGCAUUAUCAAUAAGGCUAAGGCUAGGCCUACCAUUAUAACAGAUGAACUGUGUCGUCAACUAACUUGGUACGGUUUUCAUGGAACUCUUGCUGUAAAGGAUCUCCAUUUUCCAUCGAUAAUCAUAAGUGCUACACGAAAAAAAAUUGCAUCUACUGUAACAGAUGUACAAGAACGCAUUAAAGAUUGGUUGCGUAGACCAUCU